Long non-coding RNA from Silurus meridionalis, 1008 nucleotides. RefSeq lists it as uncharacterized. The transcript is spliced from 4 exons. Lineage: Eukaryota; Metazoa; Chordata; Actinopteri; Siluriformes; Siluridae. The record is from RefSeq and is a predicted model, not a curated record.
GCUUGCAGUUCCUUUGGAAUGCGUAGCGAACGCCUGACAGCCGCUGGUCGAUAAACAUGCACUGCAGCAGGUGGACAGAUAUUGGAUUAUAUCAUUGGAGGAUCAUCUACAGGGGCACGUCACUUUAUGACAGGUUGCCACCUUUGCACAAAUUCCUAUCAACAAUACUGUAAAACCCUGGCAUGUGAGGGUGUGGAGGAAGAAUCAUAGAGACAGCAGCCUGGAUGGGGCAUCAUUUGGAGCUGUUGGAGGAAACAAACCCCCCACACACUCCAGACCAGACUCACCACAGUUCAAAAACAACACGUGCAGCUGUAUGUGUGUAUGCACCCGUGCGUGUCUGCGUUGCUCGCAGAGUACGAAGGAAAGGCUUGCAGCUGUGACCCUCUGAUUGUGAUAUCAGUGUAGACAGGAGGAGUGUGUGUGUGUCUGGAUGCGCCUUUACAGAAGGCUCUUUAUACUCUGCCUUGAAAACCCCAUCAAUGCCAGAAAUAAAGAGACAAAAGUCAGUGCAGUCAUUGCUGGCAUGCAGACCACUAUGCUGUUUCUCACAUAUCUGUCUGUGUUUUUUUUGUUUGUUUUCAAGAUAUACUUUUUCUUCUGAGUCACAAUUUAUUAGCAAUGUGAUUUAUUAUUUACGGAUGUUAUAUGUAUAAAUGAUAUAAAUACUAAGUGUGUGUGUGUGUGUGUGUGUGUGUGUGUGUGCGUAGAAGGGCUUAAACAGCUUUGCAAAAACAUUCUUUAACAUUAGACAUUAUUUCACGCAUUCUUAUCUAUGUCCCAUCAUAAAGAUAACGUUAUUUGCUUAUUUUUUAUGUACACUGUUAGCUCUUAGACAUAUAAUGCAAACUCUGUGUUUAUAUCUCCGAGGUUUAGUGCAUUUUAUUUGAAUAACGUGUGACGCAUGCAAAUUUAGAAUGGACUUGCGUAAACUAUAGCCACACACGCUUGUGUCAUUUAUAGAAACACUUUCUUUUAUGUAACACUUGACAUUAAACUUAUCCCUAU